Humulus lupulus (European hop) is the source of this 118-nucleotide small nuclear RNA. RefSeq annotates it as U5 spliceosomal RNA. The record is from RefSeq and is a predicted model, not a curated record. NCBI's taxonomy places the organism in Eukaryota, Viridiplantae, Streptophyta, Magnoliopsida, Rosales, Cannabaceae. The transcript has a single exon.
CAGCCAUGUGUUGAACCCAAAGCGAACUAUUCUUUCGCCUUUUACUAAAGAAUACCGUGUGUUCGUCGCUAUAAUGGCAAACGCCUAUUUUUGAAGGGUAUUAGUUCAUUGAAGACCC